AUACGUAGGGGGCGAGCGUUAUUCGGAAUUACUGGGUGUAAAGGGUAUGUAGGCGGCCCUUCAAGUCGCGUGUCAAAGUCCAGUGCUCAACGCUGGGUGUGCGCGCGAUACUGACGGGCUUGAGGGCUGGAGAGGUGAGCGGAAUUCCCGGUGUAGUGGUAAAAUACGUAGAGAUCGGGAGGAACACCAGCGGCGCAGGCGGCUACCUGGACCGAUACUGACGCUGAGACGCGAAAGCGUGGGGAGC
Molecule: ribosomal RNA, 247 nt
Filed under: uncultured bacterium
Lineage: Bacteria
Description: partial 16S ribosomal RNA
Rfam family: Bacterial small subunit ribosomal RNA
Source: RNAcentral